UGUUGCAGCAAACUAGAAGAGAGAAGCAUCCAAGUCAACAGCCUUCUAAGCAUGCCACCCGGUCUCCUCUUUCUUUUCUGUGAUUUAUAGUAACUUGCGUUCUACCUGCCAAAUAAAUGAAAAUAAAAGCGCUUACCUUUGUAUACUGAGACCACAGCUUACAGUCACUAUAUCUCAGCCUAUUUUAUACAAGUGAUAUGGCUACGAAGGUCCAAGGAGAACGAGAAUAAAGUGAGAUAAACGUGCUGAAAACUGCUUAAAAGUAUUAACCUGAAAUACACAGAGGAUCCAACACCAGUUUUAAAAAUACAUUAACGAGGUAUUCCCAGCUCUUCAAUUAAUAAUGGUGAAUGACUGAUUCAUGAUUUUCAAACAUUCACCCAAAUUUUAAAAAAGAAGAAAAGGCUAAUACCAGCAAAAUCUAUCAGUGGUUUGUUCCCCAGGUUAACAAUUUGGGAGAGACUACAAACGACUCCAGGAGCCCUGGCUUCCCCGCACCAUGCACUGCAUCUAGUCAGCAUGAGGUCAGCAAAACGAAUCAAUGAAACAUGAAAACUCCCAGCUGAGAUGGGCCCUCUUGUGUACGUCUAGCCACUAAUGCACAGGAUGAGAAUGGUAAGUUCACAGCUACUUCCAGCAAGUGAUGAGGUUUUAUUAAAGUAUCACCCACCACUAAUAAAGACAAAAGGUCAAGGAGCAGCAGUAACAAGCAUGGUGUAAAAAUUUUAUUUCUGAUAAGUAACACUAACAUUUGUUUUAAACGAUCUGUUUCAUUCUCAUUUAGCGGUCCCAAAGAAAUCUGGUACAUAAAUUUGCCGUAUUUUGUGAAGCCCAUUCUCAGCGACGGGUACUGUUCAGCUCCAAAAACCAGAAAUGAAGAAAGACGAGGAAAGCUAAUUCAUACUAAAAACAGACAUUUUUAAGACACAGAACUUGUAAAUAUCAACAUGGGACCACACUGUUGCCUUCAUGGGGGCGAGUACCUUAAUAAAACCAUUACCUUCUAGUAACAUCAUAGGCUUCCAAACAAGGUGAGAAUGCAAGUGGAAGACUUAGGUCUGCACCCUUUACAGAACAACACAAUGUUACCAACUGAUCAUUUUUCACCAGCUUAAUCAGGUGUCUUAAAAAAUAAAUGCUGACCCAUGGCUGAAACCUGUCACUUUUCACAGCAGCACUCAACAAGAACUGGGACAAUCGAAGAGCAAGUUUUUAUGGGGACCCUGUUGCUGCUUUAGAUUCUGAUGUAAUUGAAGAGGAUAAGAGACCCUUCAAAGAAUCCCAGAAAAAUCGCUAAUCUUCUCUCUGCAUGAAAAAAGCCAGGGAGUGAACACAGUAUCUUACAGAGUGAAGAAGGCCACAAGAACAAGAGAGGGCUAUAAAAGAACUUCCUUUUUAAAAGCUUCAGAAGACAGGCCUUUCACAGAGGUCAGUGCAAUGAUGUAAGAGAGAAGCUACUACAGAGCAGAGAGGCAGACAGCAGGAUUCCUCUCACAAUCACUGCCACUAGCUGAUGGCUGCUGACCCCUCGGGCGUGAGGGAAACGUCCCAUGGCCCAGCAGCUGGACAAAACUGGACGAGCACGUCACCAAAGGCAAGAGAGUUCACCUCAGUAACCUGCCUACUACUGUUUAAUGAAAGCUGCUUCCUUUAAAUAAGACAUGAAAUGAGGCAAAAAUAAAUAAAUAAAUAAAUUUCCAUAGAAAUAGUGAGAUGCACAGAAAAAUGUCUUAAUUUUGGACACACAAAAAAUACCAAACUGUAACCACCCUCUUACACUGUCUUUCAGCGCUCUCUGUCUCCUUCAAUGGUGCCGCCAUCCAACCUACUUCCUCCAGCAUAAGAUCCUGGGAGGGACCUGAAACCUCACUCUGUUUCGUUCUCCACAUUCAAUCCAUCAAUUCUGCUUCUGAAGUUCUUCCAUCUGCUCACUUCAUGACCCCCAUCUACUUCCCUACACCCCCUGGAGAUCCCUCCACGGCCUCUAGUCUAGUCUCUGAGCUUACAAAAACCUUCUACUUUGUCUUGGCAUGCCGACUUCUAUCCUUACAAGCCAUUCUUCAUGCUACAGAGAGUGAUCUUUACAAAUAAAGUCUGAAAGUCUUAUCUCCUUACUCCUCUUAGAACCCUUCACGACGUCCCCCGUACUUAGGUGCUAAGACCAAAAUCCAAACCACAGCCUCCAGGACAGGACUGAGCACCCACUUUAGCCCAAAUUCCCCCGACCCCCUCCCCCUUCACCCACACCCAGUGCUCUCCACACUACAGACAUGUUGGCCUCCUCCUAAUUCUUCAAAUGAGCCAAGUUCCCUCCUACCAGCACCAUAGGGUGCUGAUGUGCUAUUCCCUCUGUGUGAGGUGUUCUUCUGUCCCAAUCUUCUCUGAGUUAACCCCUACUCAUUCUUCAAAGCUCAGUUCAAGUGUCACAUCUUCAGGGAAACCUUUGAGUCCCCGACAGACUAGACCAGGUUUCUCUGUCACGUUCCCUCACAGCAUCGUGCCCCUCUCCUUCAUCACAGCAACUCAGUCAGUCGUGAGUAUUCCAUUAGUAUGUCUCACCUUUAGACCAAACACUGCAGGAGAACAAAAUCCAUGUCUGCUGUGUGUCAAAGCAGGCACACAAUAUUUGAAUAAGAGUACACAUUGUUUAUAUGACACAUCUUUGAGCUAUGCCCCUACUGGGAUCAACUUCUAGAAGCUUAAUUCCAAAGCCACAUCAUCCACAGAACUUCCCAAAACGCCUAUUCUAAGUCUUUCUUAGAAAAAAAAAAAAAAACCACAAC
Orcinus orca (killer whale) is the source of this 2783-nucleotide long non-coding RNA. RefSeq lists it as uncharacterized. The record is from RefSeq and is a predicted model, not a curated record. NCBI's taxonomy places the organism in Eukaryota, Metazoa, Chordata, Mammalia, Artiodactyla, Delphinidae. The transcript has 4 exons.